UCCCUAGUAGCUCAGGUGGUAAAGCUUCCGCCUGCAAUGCAGGAGACCCAGGUUCGAUCCCUGGGUCAGGAA
This 72-nucleotide transfer RNA is filed under the name Ovis aries (sheep). It matches the Rfam family "tRNA". From Rfam's summary of the family: Transfer RNA (tRNA) molecules are approximately 80 nucleotides in length. Their secondary structure includes four short double-helical elements and three loops (D, anti-codon, and T loops). The record is from Rfam by way of RNAcentral. Lineage: Eukaryota; Metazoa; Chordata; Mammalia; Artiodactyla; Bovidae.